RNAcentral lists this unclassified non-coding RNA (379 nucleotides) under uncultured Gammaproteobacteria bacterium. Its description in RNAcentral is "contains 16S-23S intergenic spacer region". The record is from RNAcentral. Lineage: Bacteria; Pseudomonadati; Pseudomonadota; Gammaproteobacteria.
UCGCGGCUUAUCACCGGCAGUCUCCCUAGAGUGCCCAACUAAAUGAUGGCAACUAAGGGCGAGGGUUGCGCUCGUUGCGGGACUUAACCCAACAUCUCACGACACGAGCUGACGACAGCCAUGCAGCACCUGUGUUCCGAUUCCCUUUCGGGCACACCCAAAUCUCUUCAGGCUUUCGGACAUGUCAAGGGUAGGUAAGGUUUUUCGCGUUGCAUCGAAUUAAUCCACAUAAUCCACCGCUUGUGCGGGUCCCCGUCAAUUCCUUUGAGUUUUAACCUUGCGGCCGUACUCCCCAGGCGGUCAACUUCACGCGUUAGCUUCGUUACCAAGGGAAUCAAUCCCCCGACAACCAGUUGACAUAGUUUAGGGCGUGGACUAC